UUACGGCCAUAUUACAUUAAAAUACCGAUUCUCGUACGAUCACUGAAGUUAAGCAACGUCGAGUCUGGUCAGUUUCUAGAUGGGUGACUGCUUGGGAAUAUCAGGGGCAGUA
Molecule: ribosomal RNA, 112 nt
Filed under: Acanthosepion pharaonis
Lineage: Eukaryota; Metazoa; Mollusca; Cephalopoda; Sepiida; Sepiidae
Source: RNAcentral